Molecule: long non-coding RNA, 2728 nt
Organism: Pan troglodytes (chimpanzee)
Lineage: Eukaryota; Metazoa; Chordata; Mammalia; Primates; Hominidae
Exons: 2
Source: RefSeq, a predicted model, not a curated record
GGUGUCAUCUGUAAGGGCAGGGAGGCUAUUUGCUGAGGGCUCUGCAGGGGCCAGAGGCUGUGCUGGCAUUUUGUGGGUCAUCUCCUUUGACAGAUGAAACCGAGGCAUAGAGUGGUGGGCAGAAGACCACUCCAAGAGUGAGCGAUGGUGGGACUGGAACCUCAGGGGCCUCAGACGGCUGUCACCUGCUGCAGCUGCACAGGCACAGAGCCCAGGGGCCAUGGCGAAAAUGGACCUCUCCUUCAGGCCCUCCAGCAACAGGGCCACCAGCUCAGCGAUGGCCACACUGCUGGGUGACACAAACUCGUACUCCUCAUGCAUCGUGGAGAGCAGCAGCCUCUGCCCGCCCUGGGCCUCCCUGGAGAUGAAGGGCAGCGUGACCAGGAGCCCCCUCCACCUUCCCCUGAUCCAGCCCCUAAACAGCCUCGGGAGGUGGGGUUGGGGGCCCUGAGUCACAGAUGAGGACACAGAGCUGCUCUGCCAGGGCCAGGACUAGGCCAGACACCACCGUGGGUCUGGACAAAUGAAGGACAGCGGAGCACAGGACCUCUCGGAGGCUGAGAGUGGUGCAGCCCAUGUGUGGGGUUGGCUGUGGGCAGAUAAUGAGGUGGCUGGUGUGCAGUGACACCGCAGGGACACUGCAAAGGUCAGAGCUGAGAUGAGCUGCCGGCUCUGCCAUGUGCUUACUCUGAGCCACCUAACCUCGGCGUGCUUCAGUUUACUAUCUGCUCAUCUGCAGAAUGGGUGAUGCUGUCGGUACUUCGUGGCAUACAGGAAAGUGCCCAGCAUGGCCAGCCUCAGUGAGAGGUGGCCAGUGGGGAGUGGUGGCCACUGUACACCUGGCACAGCCCAGAGAUGCAUGUGCCACUCUGUUGUGUGCUUCAACCAAGGGGCGCUCUGGCAGGGCUUGGCUGGGACUUACCAAAGGGCAUGGAAAAGUUCCCAGUCAACGAGAGCCAUGGAGACCCAUGGGAGUGGGGGUCAGCCCCAGCCUAAGAGGACCCCCACCCCUGCCCUGUGCCCCAGGACACACCAGGCACUGUCCCUUGUCGCUUUCCCAGACAACCUGUACCCUCCAGGCCACCAGUUCUCGUCCAUGACAAAGAAAGGAGCCUUCUAAAUAAGUGCCCGCCAGAGGCUGCACGCUUCCCUGCCCUUUCCAGGUGGAUCUGGGUUUCAAAGAGAAGCUGCCAGUGCAACGCGUGAUUCCCCAAUGGAGUACUUCAUGGGCAGUACGGCCUGGUGCAGGAGGGUGGGGCUCCGAAGUACAGAAGCCAUCGCAUACAUAGAUUCUUGUCCCUCAACCCCGGCCUGUUAACCUGGGACAGCACACUGCCCCUCUCCCCAUCUCUCCCCGAGCCCCCAGAUGCAUCACAAGGACUCAGGGUGUAAGAAGAGAUCUUCCCUCAGGGCCCGCACCUGUUGGUGGCCAGACCCAUGACCUCUGGGAAAGAGAGUUCCAGCAGCAUCUUCUCCUGCUGGUCCAGGAAGCAAAGCCCCUUCCAGUUAACAGCCAAGAUCAGCUGCGUCUUGGGCAGGCGGGGGCCUGGCCAGGAGAGACGGCAGUGUGAAGGCUGCAUGGGACCCCUGGGUGCCCAGCCCAUACCCGCUCCCUGCCCCCUGUCAGAUGCCAUUACCUGAGAGUGUGAUGACUUCGAAGAGCCGGGAGAAGAGCAGCGGCCACUGCAGGCGGGCAGCGUCCACCACCUGCUCUCGCAUGGCCAGUGGUGUGACUUGCUUCUGAGUGUAUGGGGCCUGAGGGGGGAUCCUGGAUGUCACCUCCGUCACCUGCCUUCCCUAGUGAAUCCCUCACCUAGUGCUCAGGGUAAAAGAGUUGAUGGAUCCUUCUGAGAAGGCUCUACAAGGCCAGUGUCUGGAGAUGGAUCCUGUAGGGAGGCACCUGGGAUGUCCCCAGGGACUGGUGCAGCCCUAUCCUUUUUUUUUCUGAGACAGAGUCUCGCUCUGUCACCCAGGCUGGAGUGCAGUGGUGCGAUCUUGGCUCACUGCAAGCUCCGCCUCCCGAGUUCAAGCGAUUCUUCUGCCUCAGCCUCCCGAGUAGCUGGGACUACAGGCGCGUGCCACUGCGCCUGGCUAAUUUCUGUGUUUUUAGUAGAGGGGGUCUUGCCACCUUGGCCAGGCUGGUCUCAAACUCCUGACCUCAGAUGAUCCACCUGCCUUGGCUUCCCAAACUGCUGGGAUUACAGGCAUGAGCCACCACGUCCAGCCUGGCGCCACCCUAUUCUACCUGGGAGGGGUGUGGGGACCCUUUAGGAGGAGGGAGGAAGGCCAUCCCGUCCCCUCAUUAGCAUCUGUAGGGCGGGGCUGCGCUAGCUGUGGAAGGCGCUGUCUGUGUGCCCCAGCCCAGGCUCGCUCUUGCCAGCCUAUGCCUUGCAGGAUUGUGACUCGUUCCGUGCAGGAGGGCAUCUUGCUCCGAGUCUGUGUCCCGGGUGCCUCUCUUCUUUCUUCUCUGGAGCUCUUCUGUGUCUCUGGGGGCCUCUCUCGGGGACCACCUCUAGCUCCUUGUCUUCCAGUCUCCUUCCUUCCUCUUUCCUAACUCCCCGCCUUCACCCGUUCCUCUCCCCAGCACCACUGUGCUGUGUCCAUCACCGACUAUAAUAUCCAACCGAACUCUCUUUUCACUGUUGAAUACAGUGUUAUUUCUUAGAAAAGUGGCUGGGUACUAUUCAUAUACUGGCUUUGGGAAUGUAAUAAAUGCAUCAAAUCUGAA